ACGUUCAGGUAAUCGCUGCAUCUUUGAUGUAGAGGAAAGUCCAUGCUCGCACGAUCUGAGACGAUCGUAGUGUUCGUGCCUAGCUAAUUCAUAAGCUAGGGCAAUCUGGUAGUAACUGGAUUGACGGCGGGAGAAACCACCUAAGGCUAAAAGCUAUGGUCGAGUAUCCCUGAAAGUGCCACAGUGACGAAGCUCUUUUGGAAACAGAAGAGGUGGAACGCGGUAAACCCCACGAGCGAGAAACCCAAAUUUGGUAGGGGAAUGAUCUCGAAGGAAUCAAACGGAGAGAUUGACAGGUAGUACAAAGCUAUCUGUAGAUAGAUGAUUACCACCGGAGUACGAGGAUGAAACCGCUUGCAGUACAAAGGUACAAAACAUGGCUUAUCGAA
This 389-nucleotide RNase P RNA is filed under the name Alkalihalobacillus sp. MEB130. Its description in RNAcentral is "RNase P RNA component class B". It matches the Rfam family "Bacterial RNase P class B". Rfam says of the family: Ribonuclease P (RNase P) is a ubiquitous endoribonuclease, found in archaea, bacteria and eukarya as well as chloroplasts and mitochondria. Its best characterised activity is the generation of mature 5'-ends of tRNAs by cleaving the 5'-leader elements of precursor-tRNAs. Cellular RNase Ps are ribonucleoproteins. Lineage: Bacteria; Bacillati; Bacillota; Bacilli; Caryophanales; Bacillaceae. The record is from RNAcentral.